RNAcentral lists this unclassified non-coding RNA (214 nucleotides) under uncultured Mortierellales. Its description in RNAcentral is "sequence contains ITS1". The record is from RNAcentral. Lineage: Eukaryota; Fungi; Mortierellomycota; Mortierellomycetes; Mortierellales.
AACAUUUUAUUUUAUCCAUAUGGAUGAUUUAAAAAAUCCAUAUCCACCCUUGUGUGAAUUCACUGAAAAGUUAUACUUCGGUAGCGUUGAAUGAGAAUGUCUUUUCUGGUGUUUGAAGUUCAUGUUGCCGAAAGUAUUUUUUAAUUUUCAUCACUCUUCAAAAAUUUUAUAUCUUAUUUUACGAAAUUUUAAUAUUUCAACCAAAAAUUUAAUA